RNAcentral lists this transfer RNA (79 nucleotides) under Escherichia coli. RNAcentral's name for it is "tRNA-Thr". Lineage: Bacteria; Pseudomonadati; Pseudomonadota; Gammaproteobacteria; Enterobacterales; Enterobacteriaceae. RNAcentral also lists the same sequence under 6 other names. The record is from RNAcentral.
CGAUAGGUAUUGAUUUUACAGGACCAAUUUACGCAUUCGUAAUGCGAAGGUCGUAGGUUCGACUCCUAUUAUCGCACCA